This 253-nucleotide ribosomal RNA is filed under the name uncultured Diversispora. Its description in RNAcentral is "partial 28S ribosomal RNA". Lineage: Eukaryota; Fungi; Glomeromycota; Glomeromycetes; Diversisporales; Diversisporaceae. The record is from RNAcentral.
AAGUAGCUCUGCUUCGGGAGAGUAUUAUAGACCCUGGGGGAUGCAGCCUGCGGGAUCGAGGAUUGCAGCAAAUGCCUUUGGCUUGUCGCCUGAUCUCUGGAUGUUACCUCGCUUUUGACAACAUUCUUGCCACUUGUGGGUACUAAUGCCCAUUAGGUUAGAGCGAUCAAAAAUUUUGCUAAGGAUGCUGACGUAAUGGCUUUAAACGACCCGUCUUGAAACACGGCUGUCUCUUAUACACAUCUCCGAGCCC